AACUUUUAACAACGGAUCUCUUGGCUCUCGCAUCGAUGAAGAACGCAGCGAAAUGCGAUAAGUAAUGUGAAUUGCAGAAUUCAGUGAAUCAUCGAAUCUUUGAACGCACCUUGCGCCCUUUGGUAUUCCGAAGGGCAUGCCUGUUUGAGUGUCAUGAAUUCAUCGCGGCCCGAGGUUUUCGAACCUGCGGACCCGCGGAAGUGGGGGCCUGCCGCUGUGAAGCGGCUCCCCUCAAAUGCAUCGGUGGGGUCUCCGGACAUCCCGGGCGUUGUAUCUACCCUCGUCCUGACAGUGAUGCCGACCAAGCCCCCGCCUCGACCGUCCGCGCGAGCGGCGGUCAGACAUGCUUUGAAAUCUGACCUCAAAUCAGGUAGGACUACCCGCUGAACUUAAGCAUAUCAAUAAGCGGAGGAAAAGAAACUAACAAGGAUUCCCCUAGUAACUGCGAGUGAAGCGGGAAGAGCUCAAAUUUGAAAUCUGGCGGCUCCGCCGUCCGAGUUGUAAUCUGGAGAAGCGUUUUCCGUGCCGGACCGUGUACAAGUCCCUUGGAACAGGGCGUCAUAGAGGGUGAGAAUCCCGUCUUUGACACGGACUCCCGGUGCUCUGCGAUGCGCUCUCGAAGAGUCGAGUUGUUUGGGAAUGCAGCUCAAAAUGGGUGGUAAAUUCCAUCUAAAGCUAAAUAUUGGCGAGAGACCGAUAGCGAACAAGUACCGUGAGGGAAAGAUGAAAAGCACUUUGGAAAGAGAGUUAAACAGUACGUGAAAUUGUUGAAAGGGAAACGCUUGAAGUCAGUCGCGUCUUCUGGGACUCAGCCUUGCUCUGCUUGGUGCAUUUCCCAGUUUGACGGGUCAGCAUCGGCUCUGGGGGGCGGACAAAGGCGUGGGGAAGGUGGCAGCUCCGGCUGCGUUAUAGCCCCGCGUUACGCGUCCCCCGGGACCGAGGAAUCCGGCGCUCGCGCCUGGGAUGCUGGCGUAAUGGCUUUAAACGACCCGUCUUGAAACACGGACCAAGGAGUCUAACAUGCCUGCGAGUGUUUGGGUGGAAAACCCGAGCGCGUAAUGAAAGUGAAAGUCGAGACCCUUUGCGGGGGCACCGACGCCCGAGCCUGAUGUUUUCGGAAGGCCUUGCGGUAGAGCAUACCUGUUGGGACCCGAAAGAUGGUGAACUAUGCCUGAAUAGGGCGAAGCCAGAGGAAACUCUGGUGGAGGCUCGUAGCGGUUCUGACGUGCAAAUCGAUCGUCAAAUUUGGGUAUAGGGGCGAAAGACUAAUCGAACCAUCUAGUAGCUGGUUCCUGC
RNAcentral lists this unclassified non-coding RNA (1296 nucleotides) under uncultured fungus. RNAcentral's name for it is "sequence contains 5.8S rRNA gene, ITS2, 28S rRNA gene". The stretch from base 357 to 1296 matches the Rfam family "Eukaryotic large subunit ribosomal RNA", at positions 1 to 961 of the family's 3401-position model. The record is from RNAcentral. Lineage: Eukaryota; Fungi.